RNAcentral lists this ribosomal RNA (492 nucleotides) under uncultured bacterium. Its description in RNAcentral is "partial 16S ribosomal RNA". It matches the Rfam family "Bacterial small subunit ribosomal RNA", at positions 29 to 507 of the family's 1533-position model. The record is from RNAcentral.
AGUGAACGCUGGCGGUAGGCCUAACACAUGCAAGUCGAACGGCAGCACAGUAAGAGCUUGCUCUUACGGGUGGCGAGUGGCGGACGGGUGAGGAAUACAUCGGAAUCUACUUUUUCGUGGGGGAUAACGUAGGGAAACUUACGCUAAUACCGCAUACGACCUACGGGUGAAAGCAGGGGAUCUUCGGACCUUGCGCGAUUGAAUGAGCCGAUGUCGGAUUAGCUAGUUGGUGGGGUAAAGGCCCACCAAGGCGACGAUCCGUAGCUGGUCUGAGAGGAUGAUCAGCUACACUGGAACUGAGACACGGUCCAGACUCCUACGGGAGGCAGCAGUGGGGAAUAUUGGACAAUGGGCGCAAGCCUGAUCCAGCCAUACCGCGUGGGUGAAGAAGGCCUUCGGGUUGUAAAGCCCUUUUGUUGGGAAAGAAAAGCAGCAGGUUAAUACCCCGCUGUUCUGACGGUACCCAAAGAAUAAGCACCGGCUAACUUCGUG